AUCAGCGAAAAUCACUAUGUAAUUAACAAAUUCCAUUACAAAAAUUCACUAAAAACUUAUCAAUUAACAAAAACCACUAUGUUAUUAAUGAAAGCACUAUGUAGUUACGAAAACCACUAUGUAAUUAACGAAUUCCAUUACGAAAAUCCACUAUAAACUCAUCAAAACCACUACAUGCCUUUGUGUCUGUAUAUAUAAAAUAAACAACCCAAACAUUUAAGGAAAGAGAAGAAGAAGAUGCAGGCCGAGAGAAUCAACAUGUGGAUAUGUCCAGAACCCCAAAAUCAAUAAACGCUUCAUCUGCACCACCACUAACCAUGAAUCUUUCUUCAACCGCUUCAAUUAUUUCCUAUGCAAGGCCUCCACUGUCAUGGGGUGCUAGACCGCCGCUUGAGGGCGGCGCUCUGGCGUUGAAGAGAUAGAAAGGGGGCCGCCGGUGGUGCAGAGAAAAAGUUGUGGCUGUCGGCGGUUUGAAUGAAAGAGAUUAGAGAAGGAGAAUUCUCAAGAGAGAAGAUGAGAAAAGAAAAAAGAGAGAUGGGAUAAGAAAAUCAAAC
This 554-nucleotide long non-coding RNA is filed under the name Erythranthe guttata (spotted monkey flower). RNAcentral's name for it is "long non-coding RNA (EGUT_LNC002067)". The record is from RNAcentral. Lineage: Eukaryota; Viridiplantae; Streptophyta; Magnoliopsida; Lamiales; Phrymaceae.